UCCGCUUCAGCUCUCUUACGAUCCAACUCUCUCCUCUCACCGUUGUUCGAAGAGAACGUCGCUGCUCUCUCUUCUCUUUCUAUUACCGUCUGACGUUAGAUCUGUUACUACCUGUCCAAACAACCAUAAUCUGGAGCAAUUUCUCAACAUAAGCUACUUUCUUAGUUCAUCUGAAGAAAGGAGGAUGAACCUGCUCUUGUUUCUAAGCUUCUAGAUAAAUUAAUGAGUGACAAAUAUGGGGAGGCGAAGCAGCUUUUGGACUUGCAUGGGUUGUUAAGGGUUUCAAAACACUUUCCCAAAUGUACUAAUCUGUUGUUUAUGGUGGUUGAUUACACUGUUGUUUGAAGGUUAAGGGAAUCAACCACCAUGUUGUGAUAAAGUUAGCUUGGAUGAAUGAGAAGACUGCAUUGCAUUUGGAGGUUGUUCAAACUGGAGAGAUUGUGAACUUGUGAGUGAAUAUUGAUAUGAAGGGAGCUUUAUAUAGAGGCUGAAAUUUGUGUUUCAAUUUUGAAUAUUGUCUUGGAACUAUGAAGGUUGCUAGAAACGUUUCAAUACCCAAGAUUACAUUCAACAUAUUGUUUUUCGAAGCAUUUUAUGUAUGCGUAUAUCUGUAUCUGUAUAUAUCAGUAUAUAUAUGUAAAUAAAUGUAGAUUAUAGGUUGGUUUCUCAAUGUAAUUAGAAGUCUUUCAUUAUUAGAAGUGUAUUCAUUUACAUUGGUAAUACCAAUCUUAGCCGGCAAUAUCCCAUUGAAAAGUGUAAAGUAAUGUAAACACAAUUAAUUAGACUGAUUGAGUUAUCUUACCAUUGAAACGACGCAGUAUAGUCUAGGCGGAAAAGUGUUUUAGGUAGAAAGUUACUGCUUUAUUAUAAUGAUAGAUAGAUAUUUUGUCAUGUUCGUGGCCACACACAGCUUGCUGGUGCCUUUUAUGGACAUAAAGUGAGUGGAAAUCACACAUUGUAUCACACAUGGAUAACUCGAAAAAGGCCAAGAAGGAAACCAAGAAGAAGGAACUUUCAAAUUGAAUUCAAGAAACCAAGAAGGAAAUCUUGAUGCUGAUUAUGUAGUUAUAUAUGUGCAUAUAGUACUUUCAAAUCGAAUUCAAGAAACCAAUUAUAUGAACCUUGUUAGUUGCAAAGUGAUAUUGAGCAUAGCAGUUCUA
This is a long non-coding RNA of Ipomoea nil (Japanese morning glory), 1160 nucleotides long. RefSeq lists it as uncharacterized. NCBI's taxonomy places the organism in Eukaryota, Viridiplantae, Streptophyta, Magnoliopsida, Solanales, Convolvulaceae. The transcript has 4 exons. The record is from RefSeq and is a predicted model, not a curated record.